RNAcentral lists this ribosomal RNA (374 nucleotides) under uncultured organism. RNAcentral's name for it is "partial 16S ribosomal RNA". It matches the Rfam family "Bacterial small subunit ribosomal RNA", at positions 527 to 896 of the family's 1533-position model. The record is from RNAcentral.
GUAGGUGGCAAGCGUUGUCCGGAAUUAUUGGGCGUAAAGCGCGCGCAGGUGCUUCUUUAAGUCUGAUGUGAAAGCCCCCGGCUCAACCGGGGAGGGUCAUUGGAAACUGGGGAACUUGAGUGCAGGAGAGGAAAGUGGAAUUCCACGUGUAGCGGUGAAAUGCGUAGAUAUGUGGAGGAACACCAGUGGCGAAGGCGACUUUCUGGCCUGUAACUGACACUGAGGCGCGAAAGCGUGGGGAGCAAACAGGGAUUAGAUACCCUGGUAGUCCACGCCGUAAACGAUGAGUGCUAAGCGUUGGGGGGGUUUCCGCCCCCUCAGUGCUGCAGCUAACGCAUUAAGCACUCCGCCCUGGGAGUACGGUCGCAAGACUG